This 465-nucleotide ribosomal RNA is filed under the name uncultured bacterium. RNAcentral's name for it is "partial 16S ribosomal RNA". It matches the Rfam family "Bacterial small subunit ribosomal RNA", at positions 28 to 506 of the family's 1533-position model. The record is from RNAcentral.
GAUGAACGCUGGCGGCGUGCUUAACACAUGCAAGUCGAACGAUGAAGCCCAGCUUGCUGGGUGGAUUAGUGGCGAACGGGUGAGUAACACGUGAGUAACCUGCCCUUAACUCUGGGAUAAGCCUGGGAAACUGGGUCUAAUACCGGAUAGGAGCGUCCACCGCAUGGUGGGUGUUGGAAAGAUUUAUCGGUUUUGGAUGGACUCGCGGCCUAUCAGCUUGUUGGUGAGGUAAUGGCUCACCAAGGCGACGACGGGUAGCCGGCCUGAGAGGGUGACCGGCCACACUGGGACUGAGACACGGCCCAGACUCCUACGGGAGGCAGCAGUGGGGAAUGUUGCACAAUGGGCGCAAGCCUGAUGCAGCGACGCCGCGUGAGGGAUGACGGCCUUCGGGUUGUAAACCUCUUUCAGUAGGGAAGAAGCGAAAGUGACGGUACCGGCAGAAGAAGCACCGGCUAACUACGU